This 639-nucleotide long non-coding RNA is filed under the name Rattus norvegicus (Norway rat). Its description in RNAcentral is "long non-coding RNA NONRATT017504". The record is from RNAcentral. Lineage: Eukaryota; Metazoa; Chordata; Mammalia; Rodentia; Muridae.
CAAACAUUCAAUCCAGCUUCCAAAGUCCCCAUAAUCUGUCAGUCUCCAACACCUUAAAAGUUCAGAAUUCAUAGUCUCUUCUGAGACUCAGGACAAUGUCCUAAUUGCAACCUUUCUAGAGAGAAAAUGAAGGUACAGGUCCCAUGCUUCUACCACACAUGGCCCAGGGGGUACAAUUGUGUUUCAAAAGGAAGGAAAGGGAGCAAAGUGAGGAAGUGUUGGAUCACAGACUAAACUCCAGCUGGGCAAACUGUAUCCUACAGGGACACUCUGCGCCCCAUUGUCACACAAGACCCCACAGAGGAAUCCUGUCCCACCUGACACUCAGCACAGGAAACACAGAUUCUGGAAGGUUCUCCAUCUGCCAUUCAUUUCCUCCUCAAUCCUCUGAGUGUUCUCAAUCCCUUAACUUCCCCACCAGUGAACUGCACAGGUCAAGGAGUUCACAUUCAGAGUCAGAUGUUCAGUGUGGAGGUGAGGAGAUGUAGCCCAGGGCACCCUGGAGCUGACAGCUUGCAGACACCCCAGUGUCUGUUGGACCAGGAAGGUUGACUGUGGAAGGGAUGACAGCCAGUGCAGGACAGAGUCCUGGUGCACUGGGUUGGGCUGGGGUCUCCAUGUCUUCCCAUUUUGUGCACA